Molecule: ribosomal RNA, 497 nt
Filed under: uncultured bacterium
Lineage: Bacteria
Description: partial 16S ribosomal RNA
Rfam family: Bacterial small subunit ribosomal RNA
Source: RNAcentral
GAUGAACGCUGGCGGCGUGCCUAAUACAUGCAAGUCGAGCGAACAGACGAGGAGCUUGCUCCUCUGACGUUAGCGGCGGACGGGUGAGUAACACGUGGAUAACCUACCUAUAAGACUGGGAUAACUUCGGGAAACCGGAGCUAAUACCGGAUAAUAUAUUGAACCGCAUGGUUCAAUAGUGAAAGACGGUUUUGCUGUCACUUAUAGCUGGAUCCGCGCCGCAUUAGCUAGUUGGUAAGGUAACGGCUUACCAAGGCAACGAUGCGUAGCCGACCUGAGAGGGUGAUCGGCCACACUGGAACUGAGACACGGUCCAGACUCCUACGGGAGGCAGCAGUAGGGAAUCUUCCGCAAUGGGCGAAAGCUUGACGGAGCAACGCCGCGUGAGUGAUGAAGGUCUUCGGAUCGUAAAACUCUGUUAUUAGGGAAGAACAAAUGUGUAAGUAACUAUGCACGUCUUGACGGUACCUAAUCAGAAAGCCACGGCUAACUACGUG